UCAGGACGAACGCUGGCGGCGUGCUUAACACAUGCAAGUCGAACGGUGACGGUCAAGCUUGCUUGGCCUGAUCAGUGGCGAACGGGUGAGUAACACGUGAGUAACCUGCCCCAGACUCUGGGAUAACCCCGGGAAACCGGAGCUAAUACCGGAUAUGACACCAGGUCGCAUGGCCAUGGUGUGGAAAGUUUUUCGGUCUGGGAUGGACUCGCGGCCUAUCAGCUUGUUGGUGAGGUAGUGGCUCACCAAGGCGACGACGGGUAGCCGGCCUGAGAGGGCGACCGGCCACACUGGGACUGAGACACGGCCCAGACUCCUACGGGAGGCAGCAGUGGGGAAUAUUGCACAAUGGGCGGAAGCCUGAUGCAGCGACGCCGCGUGAGGGAUGACGGCCUUCGGGUUGUAAACCUCUUUCAGCAGGGAAGAAGCGCAAGUGACGGUACCUGCAGAGAG
This 453-nucleotide ribosomal RNA is filed under the name soil bacterium 12V-09. RNAcentral describes it as "bacterial SSU rRNA". It matches the Rfam family "Bacterial small subunit ribosomal RNA", at positions 24 to 488 of the family's 1533-position model. The record is from RNAcentral.